CAGCAGCCGCGGGAAUACAGAGGGUGCGAGCGUUAAUCGGAUUUACUGGGCGUAAAGCGUGCGUAGGCGGCUUCUUAAGUCGGAUGUGAAAUCCCUGAGCUUAACUUAGGAAUUGCAUUCGAUACUGGGAAGCUAGAGUAUGGGAGAGGAUGGUAGAAUUCCAGGUGUAGCGGUGAAAUGCGUAGAGAUCUGGAGGAAUACCGAUGGCGAAGGCAGCCAUCUGGCCUAAUACUGACGCUGAGGUACGAAAGCAUGGGGAGCAAACAGGAUUAGAUACCCCCGUAGUCCCUGUCUCUAUACA
RNAcentral lists this ribosomal RNA (301 nucleotides) under uncultured bacterium. Its description in RNAcentral is "partial 16S ribosomal RNA". It matches the Rfam family "Bacterial small subunit ribosomal RNA", at positions 509 to 808 of the family's 1533-position model. The record is from RNAcentral.